Long non-coding RNA from Pogoniulus pusillus (Red-fronted tinkerbird), 839 nucleotides. RefSeq lists it as uncharacterized. The record is from RefSeq and is a predicted model, not a curated record. The transcript has 3 exons. Lineage: Eukaryota; Metazoa; Chordata; Aves; Piciformes; Lybiidae.
CAGGAGCCCUAAGCUGUGCCCAUCUGGGCAGAGGAGACCUCCUCCUAUCAUCACUGGUCUAAGCAGCUUAUACAUGUCCUGGCUUGCCCUGACAUGUUUUUCUGCUGUCCCUCCUUCCAUUGUGAGGAGAAGCAACCGUGGGAAAGAGGACAAAGAACCUGGAGCCACUGAGUCUAGAGACUCUGGCUUGCCCAGAGUUGUUUACAUCCUGUGGUAAACAAGGAACAGGCUCUAAAUGCCUCCACCUGAUGGGCCUGCACAGCCAGCGUGACAUCCUGCUGAGACUGCACAUCACAAGACAUCCUGCCUACGCCUGAAAGUCUCCUGCCUACGCCGGGAAGUCCUGGAGCUACAUGGAUCAUUCAGAGAAGCCAGGAUACGGCCAGAGAUUGUCUGUCUCCUUUCCCCAGCACUCUAUGUGAAUUGUGGGAAGAAUCAGAAGUCUCAGUGGCUGACAAGGCAGUAGCUGAAUUCCCUGAAAGCAUUUGAGUACUGUCUGAAGCUGUAGCUGGCCCCAUGAGUUGGGAGAUAAUUUUGUGGGUAAAUACUUAAAGCCUCUUGCCAUUCACCAUUGCCUUCUGCCAUAAGCAGAAAGGGGCUCCUGGAGUCCAUCUAGAAAGCAAGCAGUAUACUGACCACAAGCAGUGUAUUGACCACAGGAACCUUCUUUUCUGGUUCAAUUAAUGUUAUAUGUUUUUGCUAGUUACUUCUAAACCUAGUUAUUGCUCUGUAGAAUGUUUCCAUGACCAUGCAAAGAAUCAGUUAUUAUUAACAUUGGUGUUUGGGGGGGGAGAAUCCUGAAUAUCAAAACUAAUAAAUGAUAUUAAUUUUGGAAAAAA